RNAcentral lists this ribosomal RNA (272 nucleotides) under uncultured prokaryote. RNAcentral describes it as "partial 16S ribosomal RNA". It matches the Rfam family "Bacterial small subunit ribosomal RNA", at positions 524 to 796 of the family's 1533-position model. The record is from RNAcentral.
GACGAAGGAUGCAAGCGUUAUCCGGAUUCAUUGGGUUUAAAGGGUGCGUAGGCGGCCUUGUAAGUCAGUGGUGAAAUCUUCUCGCUUAACGAGAAAACUGCCAUUGAUACUGCUAGGCUUGAGUACAGAUGCUGUGGGCGGAAUAUGACAUGUAGUGGUGAAAUACAUAGAGAUGUCAUAGAACACCGAUUGCGAAGGCAGCUCACAAAACUGUAACUGACGCUGAGGCACGAAAGUGCGGGGAUCAAACAGGAUUAGAUACCCUGUAGUCC